RNAcentral lists this long non-coding RNA (923 nucleotides) under Pogona vitticeps (central bearded dragon). Its description in RNAcentral is "lncRNA (ENSPVIG00000015713.1)". The record is from RNAcentral. Lineage: Eukaryota; Metazoa; Chordata; Lepidosauria; Squamata; Agamidae.
CUGGACAAAGCAGUUUCAGAAGCAGAAUGGUUUUCUGGAAUCCAAAACUGAGAAGGAUGCCUAGCAAAAGAAUUCCAGAAUGGAUGCAUUACAGAAGCUAUGAUCAAACAGGCUUUCCUGAAGAAUCAAACUGUGAAAACUACAACCAUAAAAGGCCCUCCAUUUAUUGCAUUCGCCAAAAAAAAAAAAAAAGUGAUAUUCGUAUGGGAGGCUGAGCUGGUAUGUUGCCUUUUGAGAAGGGCUUUUUAAAUGUAAUUAGUUUCUAGAUUUCAUCUCCAUCCUGCAUUUUAGUUUUUGCCAGCCAGUGUGAUUUAUGCUUCAGUAGCUUUCAUAUUACCAAACUUUUAACAUGUUGCUCUGCAAAAUAUUAAGGGGUGGACAUGCAGGGAGAAAGUUAUUCAUGUUACACUGAUUUCCCUUGAGUUAUUAUUGUGGGAAUUCACAAGUGAUAGAUGCAAUAUCUGAACUGGUGUCUCACAAAAUGUACACCUUUAAGAUGUGAAGUCAUGAAAAUGUGGAGAUGCAAUGUCACAGGAGUGAAAUGCAGAAAUGGACAGUUAGCUUAGCCUCAACACCACCAUCUUCAAGAAGCGGAAAACAAAACUACAGAGAAGAACAGAUGUAUCAAACAGGAAUACAGUUACAUUCAUAUUCAUAUUCAGUCCAACACAACAGACCCAUACAAGAGAGAUUCAGGAGAGAGUAAUUUCAUAUGCACUGCAGAUGCUACACUGGAUUCUCAUUUAUUUAUGGACAGUUAGCUUAGCCUCAACACCACCAUCUUCAAGAAGCGGAAAACAAAACUACAGAGAAGAACAGAUGUAUCAAACAGGAAUACAGUUACAUUCAUAUUCAUAUUCAGUCCAACACAACAGACCCAUACAAGAGAGAUUCAGGAGAGAGUAAUUUCAUAUGCACUGCAG